ACAAGAGGAUAUAUAAAAAUAUAUAUAGAAGAAGAAGAGAAUCAAAGAGAAGAAAGAAUCAUUCUAGAAGAGCAGAGCUUGCAGAAUAUGUUGCUGUGUUGUCAAUGAAGAAAAUAGUUCAGAGCCUCAUGGGGUUCAUAGGUAGUCAUAGUCAUACAACCUUUGUUUCACUUUCAUACCACAGAGCUUGUCAAAUCUAUAUAUAUUUUUAUAUAUCCUCUUGU
RNAcentral lists this unclassified non-coding RNA (224 nucleotides) under Hevea brasiliensis (rubber tree). Lineage: Eukaryota; Viridiplantae; Streptophyta; Magnoliopsida; Malpighiales; Euphorbiaceae. The record is from RNAcentral.